UAGGUAUCUGCAAUUUUUGGAUAAGUUAAUCUUACGAUAGUUUCAUAUUUUUUCUCUUUCUUUUUUCUGGGUUUUCAGUUGUAGCAAAGUGUGGUGCUUGGUUUAUGGCUGAUUGAUGAUUCUUUGGGGUUGUUAAGCCCCAUUUGAUUAAUUCUGUGUAGUUUGCUGUUUUUUUUUUUGUUUUUUUUAAUGGGGUUUCCCCUGUUGGGUUUGAAAGAAACGGAAUAGGUGGGAUUAGUAUGGGAUUUAGAUUGCUGAAAUUCCUUCUUUGAUUGAUAAGAGAGGUUGUAGCUUUGUUUUUUCUGUACUUGAAAGCCAGAUACAAAAGCUCAUAUUUAAUCUCAAUAUUCCCCCUGGUUCAUAAAAAAAUAAAAAGAAUUGUGGUGCUUGGUGAUUGAUGUUAAUAUAAAACAUGGAAUGAAUUCUGGGUUUUGUGCAAAGUAUUUAUAUGUUGGCUUCGUCUCCUGUUUUGAGAAGGCAACAGUUUUUGAUAAGAUCUCUUAGAGCAAAACACUAACAUCCAUCAUAAAAGAUUGCAAGGAUUUCACCAGUGGAGCCUCUUUAGAGGCUGAUGCUGUGAACUUCUGAGAGCAAUCACUAUGCCCUCUGUUCAUCUUUUCCAACAGAGUAAAAAAAAAUCCCAAGUGAAAAAUCUUAUGGGUUAGGUUGGGAUUUGAGACAGGGUUUGGUAUUUAUACCUCCCACUACAAAAUCCCACUCAAUUCCACAUUUUAAAAAAUUCUUUGAAAUUAGCAAGAUUUUGGAUACCAUAAAACCGUUUUUUAAUUGUUUAAAGUCUUGAUUGAAUACCACUAAAUUUGGCUAUUCUCUUUUUAAAAAUCCUAAUAGUCUUGAUGGAAUACCACAAAACUUAUUUAGAUCAUUUCAAAGUCUUAAUUGAAUACCUCACUUGUUUCUUCUUCCUUUUGUUUUGCGUGUAGCAGAAAAUAUGGUGUGUCCAAUUGAUUCUGAAAUUGGGGAAGCCUUCGCCCCGUUUUCAAUAUCCAGCCAACGAGGCCAAAAAAUUAUUCACCAAAGCCCAUUUCAGGGCAAUAAGAAUAACAAAGGACUCGGCCCCCCAAGAGCUUCACGCGACAGUGGUUCUUCUUCAAUACUGGAUCGCUAAGAUCUUCAACUUGUGACAAAAGCUGGCACGUUAGACUCAAAAUAGCUUGCCUGAGAAAAAGAAGAUU
Prunus persica (peach) is the source of this 1193-nucleotide long non-coding RNA. RefSeq lists it as uncharacterized. The transcript has 3 exons. NCBI's taxonomy places the organism in Eukaryota, Viridiplantae, Streptophyta, Magnoliopsida, Rosales, Rosaceae. The record is from RefSeq and is a predicted model, not a curated record.